This 469-nucleotide long non-coding RNA is filed under the name Salvia miltiorrhiza (redroot sage). RNAcentral's name for it is "long non-coding RNA (SMIL_LNC001157)". The record is from RNAcentral. Lineage: Eukaryota; Viridiplantae; Streptophyta; Magnoliopsida; Lamiales; Lamiaceae.
UUCUUCUUCUUCUUCUUCUUCUUCUUCUUCUUCUCUUUUUCUUUCAACGUAGUUAUUAUUCAAGUUCUUUCAAAAUAGUUGUCAUCUAUCUAAAAAGAUUCAAGAAAUGUUCCUUGUGUAGUGUUUAAGCAGAUCGAAGUUAAUUUUUAUUCAUAAGUUCAUCUUCUCCUCAAUUAAGAAGAAGAAAAAAAUUCAAGAUUUUGAAAAUUUCUUAUUUAAGAUAAAUUUGUUGGUGUAGUUGUUGGUUAUUGCUGAAAUUCAUGUUUAUGUAAUUUGUGUGUUUUCAAAUGUGUUUGAUUUUGGAUAAAAACUGCACUAUUGUUGAUUCGAAAUCUAGGAGAAAAAAAAAAAGCUGAAUUUUUGCUUCAUACACGAUCUUUCAAAUAUAGCUAAAACUUUGGAAAAAUAACUGCUAAAAAUUGCCGGGAAAAUAUGACUGUUGAACUGGUCUUUUAUAUUAUAUAUAGAU